AUGAAGAAAGUCUUCUACACCAGGCAGUGCCCUGAGUUUGCCUUGCUCCCUGUAGUCUUUCUCUCUCAUGAUUCUGGUGUGAGAUCUGCCUCAGUCUGCUUCAACUGUUACUUUGAAGACAGAAGCACAUAUCCUUCACCCAGACUUCUCCUCCAAGCUCCGUUGCUGCAGGAUAUCACUGGUGUAAUGGGUGGAAAUUCCCUGCACAGACUGCCAAAGACUGCACUUUUGUGUGGAGAGAAGCAAGGCCAUGAGGUGGAAGGACUGAUUUCCUCUGGGAGCACAUUGCAGUGGUACACCCGCUGUCAUAGGACACUGCAUUUUGAAGCUAUUAUAAAUAGAUAAUGCUUACAUAUUGCUCUUUACAUUUACAGUGACCCACAGGCCAUACCUAAUUACACAAUUGCAGCAGCCUUGCAAGGCAGGGCAGUUAGGAUCAUCUUCCUUUAGAAACGAAAUGGAGGCAAUGGUAUUAAAAUGCAUGACCAGGGUUAGAGAUGAGGGGUCAGUGAGAAAGCCAAGGUUGAAACAUCAGACUUACAUAUUCCCAGUCCUGUGCUUAACAUGUGUCUCAGGCAAAGAAAUUGAUGUUAAUGAUGUACUAACCCCUUUCAUCUGAAGAUCUCAAAAUGUUUUAUGUCCUGAUUUGCUUUCCCCAUGCAGCUUUAUUGUAGGCUUAUGGUUGUCCAGAGGGGAAAAGUGCAGGCUUCUCUGUGCUGUGUGUGUAUCCGUAUGGCCUCCAGCUCCCCGCAGGGAGGAGGUGGCAGGGGUUAGUCACUGCUCUCACUGGGGAGGGAGCUGGGCAACUGCGACAAAGGAACAACAGAGCCAUUGGAGCCAUUGAGGGAAGGUGGGCUGUAAGAAGGAGGCUGGGUAUGGGUUGGUUGGCAGCAUGUAGCAUGACAGGGGCUCAUAUGACAGCCCCUGGGCAGGGCUGGAGCUAGGCCAUGUGGUAUGGGGUCAUUAAGAUGCAAAGGGUGUCUGGAGACAUUGCAGGAGGGUCCGUGCAGGGAGGAGACUGCAGGACACAAGGUAGAUAGGCACUCUUCAGGGAGAGCUGGAUACAGGAGUUGGAUAAGAGGAAAAUAAAAGAUCAUCCUCGUUGUUUUCCUUCA
Molecule: long non-coding RNA, 1115 nt
Filed under: Anas platyrhynchos platyrhynchos (common mallard)
Lineage: Eukaryota; Metazoa; Chordata; Aves; Anseriformes; Anatidae
Description: lncRNA (ENSAPLG00000023549.1)
Source: RNAcentral